AAGUCGAACGCGAAAGUCCCCUUCGGGGGACAAGUAGAGUGGCGCACGGGUGAGUAACACGUAGGUAAUCUACCUUCGGAUGGGGAAUAACAACCGGAAACGGUUGCUAAUACCGCAUAAUGCAGCGGCACCUAAUGGUGACAGUUGUUAAAGCGGGGGAUCGAAAGACCUCGCGUCUGAAGAGGAGCCUGCGGCGGAUUAGCUAGUUGGUAGGGUAACGGCCUACCAAGGCUUCGAUCCGUAGCCGGCCUGAGAGGGCGGUCGGCCACACUGACACUGACAUACGGGUCAGACUCCUACGGGAGGCAGCAGUCGGGAAUUUUGGGCAAUGGGCGAAAGCCUGACCCAGCAACGCCGCGUGAAGGAUGAAAUCCCUCGGGAUGUAAACUUCGCAAGAACGGGAAGAAUAAGUAGGGGACAAUACCCCCUAUGAUGACGGUACCGUUUGUAAGCUCCGGCUAACUCCGUGCCAGCAGCCGCGGUAAUACGGGGGGAGCAAGCGUUGUUCGGAUUUACUGGGCGUAAAGGGCGCGUAGGCGGCCUCCGCAAGUCAAUUGUGAAAUCUCCGGGCUUAACUCGGAAAGGUCAACUGAUACUGCGGGGCUAGAGUGCGGAAGGGGCAACUGGAAUUCUUGGUGUAGCGGUGAAAUGCGUAGAUAUCAAGAGGAACACCUGCGGCGAAGGCGGGUUGCUGGGCCGACACUGACGCUGAGGCGCGAAAGCUAGGGGAGCGAACGGGAUUAGAUACCCCGGUAGUCCUAGCCUUAAACGAUGAAUGCUUGGUGUCUGGGGUUAUAUAG
Molecule: ribosomal RNA, 800 nt
Filed under: uncultured Actinomycetes bacterium
Lineage: Bacteria; Bacillati; Actinomycetota; Actinomycetes
Description: bacterial SSU rRNA
Rfam family: Bacterial small subunit ribosomal RNA
Source: RNAcentral